GACGAACGCUGGCGGCGUGCUUAACACAUGCAAGUCGAACGGAAAGGCCCUGCUUUUGUGGGGUGCUUGAGUGGCGAACGGGUGAGUAACACGUGAGUAACCUGCCCUUGACUUUGGGAUAACUUCAGGAAACUGGGGCUAAUACCGGAUAGGAGCUCCUGCUGCAUGGUGGGGGUUGGAAAGUUUCGGCGGUUGGGGAUGGACUCGCGGCUUAUCAGCUUGUUGGUGGGGUAGUGGCUUACCAAGGCUUUGACGGGUAGCCGGCCUGAGAGGGUGACCGGCCACAUUGGGACUGAGAUACGGCCCAGACUCCUACGGGAGGCAGCAGUGGGGAAUAGUGCACAAUGGGCGGAAGCCUGAUGCAGCAACGCCGCGUGCGGGAUGACGGCCUUCGGGUUGUAAACCGCUUUCGCCUGUGACGAAGCGUGAGUGACGGUAAUGGGUAAAGAAGCACCGGCUAACUACGUG
This 468-nucleotide ribosomal RNA is filed under the name uncultured bacterium. RNAcentral describes it as "partial 16S ribosomal RNA". It matches the Rfam family "Bacterial small subunit ribosomal RNA", at positions 28 to 507 of the family's 1533-position model. The record is from RNAcentral.